AUACGUAGGUGGCAAGCGUUGUCCGGAAUUACUGGGUGUAAAGGGCGUGUAGGCGGGGAUGCAAGUCAGAUGUGAAAUUCCGGGGCUCAACCCCGGCACUGCAUCUGAAACUGUGUCUCUUGAGUGCUGGAGAGGAAAGCGGAAUUCCUAGUGUAGCGGUGAAAUGCGUAGAUAUUAGGAGGAACACCAGUGGCGAAGGCGGCUUUCUGGACAGUAACGGACGCGGAGGCGCGAAAGCGUGGGUAGCGAACAGGAUUAGAUACCCUGGUAGUCCACGCCGUAAACGAUGGAUACUAGGUGUAGGAGGUAUCGACCCCGUCUGUGCCGGAGUUAACACAAUAAGUAUCCCACCUGGGGAGUACGGCCGCAAGGUUGAAACUCAAAUGAAUUGACGGGG
RNAcentral lists this ribosomal RNA (397 nucleotides) under uncultured bacterium. RNAcentral's name for it is "partial 16S ribosomal RNA". It matches the Rfam family "Bacterial small subunit ribosomal RNA", at positions 523 to 918 of the family's 1533-position model. The record is from RNAcentral.